GAUGAACGCUGGCGGCGUGCUUAACACAUGCAAGUCGAACGGAACGACCCUACUUUUUUGGGGUGCUCGAUUGGCGAACGGGUGAGUAACACGUGUGUAACCUGCCCUUGCCUUUGGGAUAACUUCAGGAAACUAGGUCUAAUACCGGAUAGGAUCUCCUGCUGCAUGGUGGGUGUUGGAAAUUUUCGGCGGUUUGGGAUGGACUCGCGGCUGAUCAGCUUGUUGGUUGGGUAGUUGCUUACCCAGGCUUUGACGGGUAGCCGGCCUUAGAGGGUGAACGGACACCUUACGCCUGAGAUACGGCUCAGACUACUACGGGAGGCAGCAGUCGGGAAUAUUGCCCAAUCGGAGCACGCAUGAUGAAGAAACGUCGCGUGUGGGAUGACGGCCUUCGGGUUGUAAAACGCUUCAGCCUGAGACGAAGCGUGAGUGACGGUAAUCAGAAAAGAAGCACCGGCUAACUACGUG
RNAcentral lists this ribosomal RNA (468 nucleotides) under uncultured bacterium. RNAcentral's name for it is "partial 16S ribosomal RNA". It matches the Rfam family "Bacterial small subunit ribosomal RNA", at positions 28 to 507 of the family's 1533-position model. The record is from RNAcentral.